Molecule: ribosomal RNA, 253 nt
Filed under: uncultured bacterium
Lineage: Bacteria
Description: partial 16S ribosomal RNA
Rfam family: Bacterial small subunit ribosomal RNA
Source: RNAcentral
UACGUAGGGGGCAAGCGUUGUCCGGAAUCAUUGGGCGUAAAGCGCGUGUAGGCGGUCCGGUAAGUCCGCUGUGAAAGUCGGGGGCUCAACCCUCGGAUGCCGGUGGAUACUGUCGGGCUUGAGUACGGAAGAGGCGAGUGGAAUUCCUGGUGUAGCGGUGAAAUGCACAGAUAUCAGGAGGAACACCAAUUGCGAAGGCAGCUCGCUGGGACGUUACUGACGCUGAGACGCGAAAGCGUGGGGAGCAAACAGG